This 74-nucleotide transfer RNA is filed under the name Minisyncoccota bacterium. Its description in RNAcentral is "tRNA-Thr". It matches the Rfam family "tRNA". From Rfam's summary of the family: Transfer RNA (tRNA) molecules are approximately 80 nucleotides in length. Their secondary structure includes four short double-helical elements and three loops (D, anti-codon, and T loops). The record is from RNAcentral. Lineage: Bacteria; Bacillati; Minisyncoccota.
GCCAGGAUAGCUCAGUUGGCUAGAGCGACGGUGUCGUAAACCGUAGGUCGUGGGUUCGACCCCCACUCCUGGCU